UACGGGAGGCAGCAGUGGGGAAUAUUGCACAAUGGGCGAAAGCCUGAUGCAGCUAUGCCGCGUGUAUGAAGAAGGCCUUAGGGUUGUAAAGUACUUUCAUCGGGGAGGAAAAAACAAAACUAAUAAUUUUAUUUCUUGACGUUACCCGAAAAAGAAGCACCGGCUAACUCCGUGCCAGCAGCCGCGGUAAUACGGAGGGUGCUAGCGUUAAUCAGAAUUACUGGGCGUAAAGAGCACGUAGGUGGUUUUUUUAAAGUCAGAUGUGAAAUCCCUGGGCUUUAACCUAGGAACUGCAUUUUGAAACUGAAAUACUAGAGUAUCGUAGAGGGAGGUAGAAUUCUAGGUGUAGCGGUGAAAUGCGUAGAUAUCUGGAGGAAUACCUGUGGCGAAAGCGGCCUCCUAAACGAAUACUGACACUGAGGUGCGAAAGCGUGGGGAGCAAACAGGGAUUAAUACC
This 457-nucleotide ribosomal RNA is filed under the name uncultured bacterium. RNAcentral describes it as "bacterial SSU rRNA". It matches the Rfam family "Bacterial small subunit ribosomal RNA", at positions 340 to 786 of the family's 1533-position model. The record is from RNAcentral.